RNAcentral lists this ribosomal RNA (230 nucleotides) under uncultured bacterium. RNAcentral describes it as "partial 16S ribosomal RNA". It matches the Rfam family "Bacterial small subunit ribosomal RNA", at positions 524 to 753 of the family's 1533-position model. The record is from RNAcentral.
UACGGAGGGUGCAAGCGUUGUCCGGAAUCACUGGGCGUAAAGGGUGCGUAGGCGGGUCUUUAAGUCAGGGGUGAAAUCCUGGAGCUCAACUCCAGAACUGCCUUUGAUACUGAAGAUCUUGAGUCCGGGAGAGGUGAGUGGAACUGCGAGUGUAGAGGUGAAAUUCGUAGAUAUUCGCAAGAACACCAGUGGCGAAGGCGGCUCACUGGCCCGGUACUGACGCUGAGGCA